ACGCUCGACACCUACGGGGGCAGCAGUGGGGAAUAUUGCACAAUGGGGGAAACCCUGAUGCAGCGACGCCGCGUGAGUGAAGAAGUAUUUCGGUAUGUAAAGCUCUAUCAGCAGGGAAGAAGAUGACGGUACCUGAGUAAGAAGCCCCGGCUAACUACGUGCCAGCAGCCGCGGUAAUCUGAGCGGCUGGCAAGGC
Molecule: ribosomal RNA, 196 nt
Filed under: uncultured bacterium
Lineage: Bacteria
Description: partial 16S ribosomal RNA
Rfam family: Bacterial small subunit ribosomal RNA
Source: RNAcentral